CUUAACUUAUCCAAAGCCAAAUAAAUUCUUCAUUUUAAGGUAACGGUCCGUUUCAUUUGGUCGCCUGUAAUGGCGUCGUAUACCGUCAACAUAUGUGCACGUCAGCAUUGUGUUCAUCUGCCAGAACUGUGAUAAAUGAACUUUUUAUCCACUUUUGAAACACACUUACACUUUUUAUAUCUUGGUAGCUUUUAACUUUAUAUUUAGGAUUUUAGUCAUCGGACGUCUGGAUCCUAAGUUAUCAGAGAAACAAUGAUUUAUACGUGAAACUGCUUCAUUAUACUGAGUCCAUGUGCUUUGGAGAGGAGGAGACCUCUGUGGAUCAUUCUAGUGGGAGGAAAUGACUUGUUGUGCGUUUAAAUGACCACACAUCUGUAUUUUCCAAAGGUUACAAUGUUUUUUGAAUUGAUAUUCAAGGCGAUGUCCGACAUGCAGGAUUCGAGCUGCUCGGCCUGAAGUGGCUGCCUGCGUUGACUCGACUUCAGGCUCAGGAACUGAGUCCAUACGAGGUGGGAGAGCAUCUCUGCCACGACAGCCUGGAGAGUCUGAUGUUCUCUCCCGCCCUCGUGUGUGCUCUGAGACGGGCGGAUGCUUUGGCUUCCCUGAGGAAUCUCCUAGCACACGAUUACCCCGGGAGCCUCGGCAUCCUGAUGUCACCGACACCUGAAGUGGCUUUCAGACAGGCCUCCCUUUUCUUCUUCGAGCAUGAGAUGAUCGCUGGUAAAGUUUGUUGAGUGCUGUAUAAAACAUGACAUCAAAUAGCAAGUCUAAAACCUGAUCUCUGGAGGGACGCUCCAGUUCCAAACAUUUGAGCCUCAUCACAAGAUUUAAGGAGAAAUAAGAAGAAAGGCUCAUCACCCCAAACUCUCCUCUCCUCCACAGACCGCAGCGCACACUCACUUCUGAAGUUUCCUGCCCAUGUUAUUACUAAAGAUCCACAGAUGCUGCUCACUGUGGGCCUCCUCAAGCCAAGAACCUGGACUCACACUCUGGCCAAAGCCGUCCACCAACUGCAGCUGAGUGGCCUCACGUUGGUGGGCCUGCGUGUCCAAAGCACAGCGACCUCACUGCUGCCUGCAGCAAGUGAUCCCUCAGACUGGGAGGCUCACGUGGAGGCCACGUGCUCCAGCUCCUCACUGGCUCUCUGCCUCCAGGGGGAGCAUGCUGUGAGGAGGCUGCUGGAUGUGGCUCAUUCAUACAGUGGCCUCUCUGG
This 1213-nucleotide long non-coding RNA is filed under the name Cottoperca gobio. RNAcentral's name for it is "lncRNA (ENSCGOG00000001140.1)". Lineage: Eukaryota; Metazoa; Chordata; Actinopteri; Perciformes; Bovichtidae. The record is from RNAcentral.